AAAGAAUUAGUUAAAAAAUAACAUUAGAAUGUCAAACUAAAAUUAUUAAAUAAAUAAUAUUCUUUA
RNAcentral lists this transfer RNA (66 nucleotides) under Heterosternuta allegheniana. RNAcentral's name for it is "tRNA-Asp". The record is from RNAcentral. Lineage: Eukaryota; Metazoa; Arthropoda; Insecta; Coleoptera; Dytiscidae.